UACGAAGGGGGCUAGCGUUGCUCGGAAUCACUGGGCGUAAAGGGUGCGUAGGCGGGUCUUUAAGUCAGAGGUGAAAUCCUGGAGCUCAACUCCAGAACUGCCUUUGAUACUGAGGAUCUUGAGUUCGGGAGAGGUGAGUGGAACUGCGAGUGUAGAGGUGAAAUUCGUAGAUAUUCGCAAGAACACCAGUGGCGAAGGCGGCCCACUGGCCCGAUACUGACGCUGAGGCACGAAAGCGUGGGGAGCAAACAGG
This 253-nucleotide ribosomal RNA is filed under the name uncultured bacterium. RNAcentral's name for it is "partial 16S ribosomal RNA". It matches the Rfam family "Bacterial small subunit ribosomal RNA", at positions 524 to 776 of the family's 1533-position model. The record is from RNAcentral.